UCUCCGUUGGUGAACCAGCGGAGGGAUCAUUAUAGAGUUUUCUAAACUCCCAACCCUUUGUGAACUUACCUUUGUUGCCUCGGCGCUAGCUGGUCCUUCGGGGCCCCUCACCCUCGGGUGUUGAGACAGCCCGCCGGCGGCCAACCUAACUCUUGUUUUUACACUGAAACUCUGAGAAUAAAACAUAAAUGAAUCAAAACUUUCAACAACGGAUCUCUUGGUUCUGGCAUCGAUGAAGAACGCAGC
RNAcentral lists this unclassified non-coding RNA (246 nucleotides) under uncultured fungus. RNAcentral describes it as "sequence contains ITS1, 5.8S rRNA gene". The stretch from base 198 to 246 matches the Rfam family "5.8S ribosomal RNA", at positions 1 to 49 of the family's 154-position model. The record is from RNAcentral. Lineage: Eukaryota; Fungi.